Molecule: ribosomal RNA, 514 nt
Filed under: uncultured bacterium
Lineage: Bacteria
Description: partial 16S ribosomal RNA
Rfam family: Bacterial small subunit ribosomal RNA
Source: RNAcentral
AGCGAACGCUGGCGGCGUGCUUAACACAUGCAAGUCGAACGUGAAAUGUAGCAAUACAGAGUAAAGUGGCGUACGGGUGAGUAACACGUGGGUAAUCUACCAAAGAGCCUGGAAUAACCGACCGAAAGGUUGGCUAAUACUGGAUAGUUCAAAUGAAAUAUAAUGUUUCGAUUGGGAAAGGGAGCGAGCAAUCGCCUUCACUUUUUUAUGAGCCCGCGUCUGAUUAGCUAGUUGGUAGGGUAAUGGCCUACCAAGGCUACGAUCAGUAGCUGGUCUGAGAGGAUGAUCAGCCACACUGGAACUGAAACACGGUCCAGACUCCUACGGGAGGCAGCAGUGGGGAAUCUUGCGCAAUGGACGAAAGUCUGACGCAGCCACGCCGCGUGAGUGAAGAAGGCCUUCGGGUUGUAAAGCUCUGUCGGAAGGGACAAAAACGUUUAGGGUUAAUAGCCUUAGAUCUUGAUGGUACCUUCAAAGGAAGCACCGGCUAACUUCGUGCCAGCAGCCGCCGUAA